CCGGGGAAAGAAGAAAAGGUUCCCGUCUUGGAAACACAGAACCUCAGCAGGAUGUGGGGCUUCUGCCUGAUCCUUCUCUGUGGGUAUUGUGGUGUGCACAGCCAGCUUGUGGUACCUAUACAGGAGUCAACGACAGCAGGUAAGUUGGCUGAAGAGAAUUCAUAUGAUGGAUGAGGUGGAAGAAUGUUUUCUAGGGAGA
RNAcentral lists this long non-coding RNA (199 nucleotides) under Dasypus novemcinctus (nine-banded armadillo). RNAcentral's name for it is "lncRNA (ENSDNOG00000052131.1)". The record is from RNAcentral. Lineage: Eukaryota; Metazoa; Chordata; Mammalia; Cingulata; Dasypodidae.